GAUGAACGCUGGCGGCGUGCUUAACACAUGCAAGUCGAACGGGAUCCAAGGGGUGCUUGCACUUUUUGGUGAGAGUGGCGAACGGGUGAGUAACACGUGAGUAACCUGUCCUUUUCUUUGGGAUAAGCAUUCGAAAGGGUGUUUAAUACCUUAUGUUCUGUCUGCCUCGCAUGGGGUGGGUGGGAAAGGCUUUGGCCGUAUUUGGGUGGGCUCGCGUUCUAUCAGCUUGUUGGUGGGGUGAUGGCUUACCAAGGCUUUGACGGGUAGCCGGCCUGAGAGGGUGGUCGGUCACAUUGGGACUGAGAUACGGGCCGGACUCCUGCGGGAGGCAGCAGUGGGGGAUAUUGCACAAUGGGCGAAAGCCUGAUGCAGCGACGCCGCGUGGGGGAUGAAGGCCUUCGGGUUGUAAACUUCUUUUGCUCUGAACAAGGCAUGCCAGUGAGUGUGUGGAGUGUAGGGGUUGAUUAGCGCCGGCUAGCUACGUG
RNAcentral lists this ribosomal RNA (485 nucleotides) under uncultured bacterium. RNAcentral describes it as "partial 16S ribosomal RNA". It matches the Rfam family "Bacterial small subunit ribosomal RNA", at positions 28 to 507 of the family's 1533-position model. The record is from RNAcentral.